RNAcentral lists this ribosomal RNA (439 nucleotides) under Beauveria bassiana. RNAcentral's name for it is "eukaryotic LSU rRNA". The stretch from base 77 to 230 matches the Rfam family "5.8S ribosomal RNA". The record is from RNAcentral. Lineage: Eukaryota; Fungi; Ascomycota; Sordariomycetes; Hypocreales; Cordycipitaceae.
GCGGCCCGCCGGGGACCUCAAACUCUUGUAUUCCAGCAUCUUCUGAAUACGCCGCAAGGCAAAACAAAUGAAUCAAAACUUUCAACAACGGAUCUCUUGGCUCUGGCAUCGAUGAAGAACGCAGCGAAACGCGAUAAGUAAUGUGAAUUGCAGAAUCCAGUGAAUCAUCGAAUCUUUGAACGCACAUUGCGCCCGCCAGCAUUCUGGCGGGCAUGCCUGUUCGAGCGUCAUUUCAACCCUCGACCUCCCCUUGGGGAGGUCGGCGUUGGGGACCGGCAGCACACCGCCGGCCCUGAAAUGGAGUGGCGGCCCGUCCGCGGCGACCUCUGCGCAGUAAUACAGCUCGCACCGGAACCCCGACGCGGCCACGCCGUAAAACACCCAACUUCUGAACGUUGACCUCGAAUCAGGUAGGACUACCCGCUGAACUUAAGCAUAU